AAGGAGCCUGAGAAACGGCUACUACAUCCAAGGAAGGCAGCAGGCGCGCAAAUUACCCAAUCCCGACACGGGGAGGUAGUGACAAUAAAUACUGAUACAGGGCUCUUUCGGGUCUUGUAAUUGGAAUGAGUACAAUUUAAAUCCCUUAACGAGGAACAAUUGGAGGGCAAGUCUGGUGCCAGCAGCCGCGGUAAUUCCAGCUCCAAUAGCGUAUAUUAAAGUUGUUGAGGUUAAAAAGCUCGUAGUUGAACCUUGGGCCUAGCCGGCCGGUCCGCCUCACCGCGUGCACUGGCUCGGCUGGGUCUUUCCUUCUGGAGAACCGCAUGCCCUUCACUGGGUGUGCCGGGGAACCAGGACUUUUACUCUGAACAAAUUAGAUCGCUUAAAGAAGGCCUAUGCUCGAAUACAUUAGCAUGGAAUAAUAGAAUAGGACGUGUGGUUCUAUUUUGUUGGUUUCUAGGACCGCCGUAAUGAUUAAUAGGGACAGUCGGGGGCAUCAGUAUUCAAUUGUCAGAGGUGAAAUUCUUGGAUUUAUUGAAGACUAACUACUGCGAAAGCAUUUGCCAAGGAUGUUUUCAUUAAUCAGGAACGAAAGUUAGGGGAUCGAAGACGAUCAGAUACCGUCGUAGUCUUAACCAUAAACUAUGCCGAUUAGGGAUCGGACGGCGUUAUUUUUUGACCCGUU
Molecule: ribosomal RNA, 685 nt
Filed under: fungal sp. K11
Lineage: Eukaryota; Fungi
Description: SSU rRNA
Rfam family: Eukaryotic small subunit ribosomal RNA
Source: RNAcentral